GACGAACGCUGGCGGCGUGCCUAAUACAUGCAAGUUGAGCGCUGAAGGUUGGUACUUGUACCGACUGGAUGAGCAGCGAACGGGUGAGUAACGCGUGGGGAAUCUGCCUUUGAGCGGGGGACAACAUUUGGAAACGAAUGCUAAUACCGCAUAAAAACUUUAAACACAAGUUUUAAGUUUGAAAGAUGCAAUUGCAUCACUCAAAGAUGAUCCCGCGUUGUAUUAGCUAGUUGGUGAGGUAAAGGCUCACCAAGGCGAUGAUACAUAGCCGACCUGAGAGGGUGAUCGGCCACAAGGGGAAUGAGACAGCGCUCGACCUACUACAGGAGGCAGCAGUAGGGAAUGUGCGGUAAUGGACGAAAGUAGGACCGAGCAACGACGUGUGAGGGAAGAAGGUUGUUGGAACGUAAAACUCUGUUGGUAGAGAAGAACGUGGGAGAGGGUGGAAAGCUCACGAAGUGACGGUAACUAAGUAGAAAGGGAAGGCUAACUACGUG
Molecule: ribosomal RNA, 497 nt
Filed under: uncultured bacterium
Lineage: Bacteria
Description: partial 16S ribosomal RNA
Rfam family: Bacterial small subunit ribosomal RNA
Source: RNAcentral